This is a non-coding RNA of Zootermopsis nevadensis, 570 nucleotides long. The record is from RefSeq and is a predicted model, not a curated record. NCBI's taxonomy places the organism in Eukaryota, Metazoa, Arthropoda, Insecta, Blattodea, Termopsidae.
GCUGUUGGCAAACACUUAAAUAAAUGAACUGAAUUGAAUAUUUGAAGGUAAUAAUCAUAAUAUACUACGAAAGUUAUGUAUUUGGCUACCGAAGGCAAAUACACCCUAAAAAAAUUCAUAUUUGUAAUAUCAGUGACAAACGUCUUCCACGAAACUUUCACAGAUCGCAGCAACCCCAUCUAUGAAAUUCUAACGAAAUAACAUUUAACUGCACUUUGUGUCAUGCGGUCAUUCGACCGGUACCACAGUUCUUCUUCAGCUCUUGCUUUGACCGCGUCAACACAAGGUCUUCUCUGUGUACUGAGGAGAAAUUAUUCCUACCAUCAGCCUGACAGGCGGUUUUCAGUCCCAGGAAAGAAUGUCACCUAGGAAAUCGAGAGGUGAAGCACUUACAGAAACACACUGGAGAUACCAACAUAGUAGUGGAAUAAUUAAUUCAUCUAAGACAAUGUACGUACGGCAGUGGCUAUGUUCAAAGAAACGGUUCGAGAUCUCUCACUCAGUUAAACAGUGAUUCUGUUGAUGAACAGAGCGAAGUUCACAACUUCAUGUAGCCGCCGGUCAUGUGUU